This 140-nucleotide small nucleolar RNA is filed under the name Ananas comosus (pineapple). RNAcentral describes it as "Small nucleolar RNA Z247". It matches the Rfam family "Small nucleolar RNA Z247". From Rfam's summary of the family: Z247 is a member of the C/D class of snoRNA which contain the C (UGAUGA) and D (CUGA) box motifs. The record is from Rfam by way of RNAcentral. Lineage: Eukaryota; Viridiplantae; Streptophyta; Magnoliopsida; Poales; Bromeliaceae.
CCACUUGAAGAUGAUGAGCUGGUUGAGUACAUCCUCACCGGCCUUGAUGAAGAAUAUGACCCGGUCGUGUCCUCCGUGAUUGGCCGGUCAGAUGCAAUCUCAGUUAGCGAGCCUAUAUUCUCAGAUGCUUGCAUUUGAGA